AAUCCCCUCAAGGGAAGAGGCUCUCUUCCAUAUCUUUGUAUCCCUAUCUCCUAGCUAACUGCCUGACAGGUAAUGGAUGCUUAAUAAAUAUUUGUUGAAAGAAUUAAUAGACUAUUCUUCAUUUGCAAGGCCCUAGGCUUAAAUCUGUGGGGCUAUGAUUAUUACUUUCUUUAACACUGUCUACCAGGUGCAGGUGGCUAGAGGCCAGGGUUUUCCCUCGGUGUUUAAUCCCUCUUUGCCCUGUGUUUGUUCCUCUCUCCUUCCCUUGUCCCUGUUGCCUGGGUCUACACACAAACACAGGACCCAUGUCACAACAGAGGAAUGCCAUCAGAAACUCCUUAAAUGGUGCUUCACGCUCUCAGUUAAAGGGACGGCCACAGCAGGUUUUUACUUGACUCUAGUAAAUAUUCUGUCUGUACAUUAUAGGUGAUAAUCUAAACAAGCUAUUUUCCAUUCCUUAGUCUCAGUUAAAAGGAACAGAGUCUUAGCUAAGCUUCUGGCAUUUUUUUUUAAAAUCAGCUACUCAGGAUGUCUCAGCUGUUUCUAAUUUUAGGCUAUUAUUUUCCCAAUACAACAUCAGUUCUGGAAUGAUAAAGCGCUUAUUUAUGCCUGUUUCUGGUCAGGACUUUCAGAAUAGCCUUCCUAUUGAGGCAAAUAUUUGCUCGUAUUUUCUUUUUUAAAAGAGUUAUUAUAUUUUAAAGUGUGGGUGUGUGUGCGAGGGGGGCAUAUGCAUGCGAGUGCAGGUCAGAAGAAGACAUCGAGUUCCGGUAUGAUCUGAGCUUGGCCCCUCUGUAAGAGCAGGAUGUGUUCGCUCUUAAGUGCUGAGCUGUCUCUCCUCAUCUCAGCACCUCCUUCUCAGCGUCUGACCAGAGUCCAUGUAACAUUCCGGCCUUUCUCCGUCACAGUUUUGCUCCACCGAGUAUUAGGAACUUCUUUUGGGGGUGAUACAAAGCAGAUGAAUCAGAGCAGAGGAAGACAGACGGUCUCUAUCUGGUAGAGGAACAGUUCUUUUCUGGUAGAACUCCGCCGUGCUAAAGAGGAAAGCGAAAGCAUCCAGCACACAGUGUUUCUCAGAGAAUUGAUUAUGUGGCUUUCAUGGAGUUCUGUGUGGAGAAAUAAAACACACUUCGGCUGGGGGAGCUUCUCAGUAACCAGAUUUCUGUGUGACCAGAAGCCUUGCUCUCCUGCCACCACAGCUAUGGCCACUCUUACUGUCACAGCUUUCCAGUCAUGAUGAACAGGACUAUCAGAUGGUAUGACCCCCUUCCUUGUGACCUCUUCCUCAAGAAGAAGAAGGGGGAGAAGGGCAAGAGGAGGAGAAAGUGGAGAAGGCAAAACAACACCAACAACAACUACAACAACAACUUAAAUUUGUCUUCCCAUAUACUCUCUGGAUCCUGGUCAUACUCUCAGUGGCCAGCUCCUUAAAGAAAACUGAGUCCUUCUCCAUCCACAGCCCUGCCAGAGGUUAUCAACUGUGAAAGGCUACACUUUAGCAUUUUUAUCAUAAUUCAGAGCACUGCUGGUUUUGCCUCCAUGACAGAGGAUGCACCUAAUCCUGGGGAGACUUGAGGGCCCAGGGAAGGCAGAAGUGUCCUCUCAGAAGAAAGGGGGAGGGAGAAUGGGAUGAGGAACUGUUGAGGGGGGGACUGAGAGGGAAGCAACAUCUGGAAUGUAUAUAAAUAAAAUAAAUUUUAAAUAGAGUUCCCUUCAA
Non-coding RNA from Rattus norvegicus (Norway rat), 1714 nucleotides. NCBI's taxonomy places the organism in Eukaryota, Metazoa, Chordata, Mammalia, Rodentia, Muridae. The record is from RefSeq and is a predicted model, not a curated record.